RNAcentral lists this ribosomal RNA (492 nucleotides) under uncultured bacterium. Its description in RNAcentral is "partial 16S ribosomal RNA". It matches the Rfam family "Bacterial small subunit ribosomal RNA", at positions 29 to 507 of the family's 1533-position model. The record is from RNAcentral.
AGUGAACGCUGGCGGUAGGCCUAACACAUGCAAGUCGAACGGCAGCACAGUAAGAGCUUGCUCUUACGGGUGGCGAGUGGCGGACGGGUGAGGAAUACAUCGGAAUCUACUUUUUCGUGGGGGAUAACGUAGGGAAACUUACGCUAAUACCGCAUACGACCUACGGGUGAAAGCAGGGGACCUUCGGACCUUGCGCGAUUGAAUGAGCCGAUGUCGGAUUAGCUAGUUGGCGGGGUAAAGGCCCACCAAGGCGACGAUCCGUAGCUGGUCUGAGAGGAUGAUCAGCCACACUGGAACUGAGACACGGUCCAGACUCCUACGGGAGGCAGCAGUGGGGAAUAUUGGACAAUGGGCGAAAGCCUGAUCCAGCCAUACCGCGUGGGUGAAGAAGGCCUUCGGGUUGUAAAGCCCUUUUGUUGGGAAAGAAAAGCAGCAGGUUAAUACCCCGCUGUUCUGACGGUACCCAAAGAAUAAGCACCGGCUAACUUCGUG